CGGACGGGUGAGUAAUGUAUGGGGAUCUGCCUGAUGGCGGGGGAUAACUACUGGAAACGGUAGCUAAUACCGCAUAAUGUCUACGGACCAAAGCGGGGGACCUCCGGGCCUCGCGCCAUCAGAUGAACCCAUAUGGGAUUAGCUUGUAGGUAAGGUAACGGCUUACCUAGGCGACGAUCCCUAGCUGGUCUGAGAGGAUGAUCAGCCACACUGGAACUGAGACACGGUCCAG
Molecule: ribosomal RNA, 232 nt
Filed under: uncultured bacterium
Lineage: Bacteria
Description: partial 16S ribosomal RNA
Rfam family: Bacterial small subunit ribosomal RNA
Source: RNAcentral